UACGGAGGGUGCAAGCGUUGUCCGGAUUUAUUGGGUUUAAAGGGUGCGUAGGCGGCCCUGUAAGUCCGUGGUGAAAUCCAACAGCUCAACUGUUGAACUGCCAUGGAUACUGCAGGGCUUGAGUACAGACGAGGUAGGCGGAAUGGAUAGUGUAGCGGUGAAAUGCAUAGAUACUAUCCAGAACACCGAUUGCGUAGGCAGCUUACUAGGCUGUAACUGACGCUGAGGCACGAAAGCGUGGGGAGCAAACAGG
Molecule: ribosomal RNA, 253 nt
Filed under: uncultured bacterium
Lineage: Bacteria
Description: partial 16S ribosomal RNA
Rfam family: Bacterial small subunit ribosomal RNA
Source: RNAcentral